This 229-nucleotide ribosomal RNA is filed under the name uncultured bacterium. RNAcentral's name for it is "partial 16S ribosomal RNA". It matches the Rfam family "Bacterial small subunit ribosomal RNA", at positions 568 to 796 of the family's 1533-position model. The record is from RNAcentral.
CGCGCAGGCGGGUUUGCAAGUCAGAGGUGAAAUCCUACAGCUUAACUGUAGAACUGCCUUUGAUACUGCUAAUCUUGAGUAUGGAAGAGAGAGACGGAAUUCCAGGUGUAGUGGUGAAAUACGUAGAUAUCUGGAAGAACACCAGUUGCGAAGGCGGUCUCUUGGUCCAAUACUGACGCUGAGGCGCGAAAGCGUGGGGAGCAAACAGGAUUAGAUACCCUGGUAGUCC